Malus domestica (apple) is the source of this 154-nucleotide non-coding RNA. NCBI's taxonomy places the organism in Eukaryota, Viridiplantae, Streptophyta, Magnoliopsida, Rosales, Rosaceae. The record is from RefSeq and is a predicted model, not a curated record.
GGCCUCCAAUAAUUUCAUUAAUGUCCAAGAAAUCUUCCUUGAUUGUGACCGAGACUCCAUAAUAUACCUUGGGAAGCUUGAUGGACCUACCUGCCACACAGGGUCAGAGAUGUGCCAUUAAACCCCAGUGCUUGAUUUGUUGGAACAUCGACAG